UGAAUAUUUCUCAACUGUUAACAUUGAAAUCACUAACGUGACUGUCAGUCUAGCUUAUACAAUAUCAAUAUCUGUUUAAAUCUUUGAAAAUGUUUAUAAUUUUAAAAAAUUAUGUUGUACAUCUCUUAAUUUUAUCACGCACUUUCGCACAGCCAGUUGGUGGUAACGAUGGUGACAAUGAACAGGCAGUGCGAGAAGAAAUCGCUCCAGUGUUGAAAACAUUUGAAAAUUUUUUAAGUACUGUUGAUAAUGAUACAAGAUUAUUGCGGAAAGGAGAAUUUUUGGGUGAGCUAAUGUCACUGGGGAGGAAAGCCGUCAAGGCUGAUGAACUGUUGAUAAAUAAAGGAGCAGAAGCCAAGGCCAACGAAAUUUAUCGUAAAAUGUUCCGCCUGCUGGGUGUCUGCUCAAGGGUGGAAACGCUGGUCGAUGACUUAUAUCCUACUAGGAGACCAUUUCAUAUUGGUAUAGCCACAGCUUUUCAAGAAAUACUGACAUCCACUAAACCGGAAUUUGAAAACCGCAGCUGCAUCAAAAUAUUUCGUGAACGGGUUAUAUCUUAUGGUAUUUCCUUUGCAAAUUUUGUAGAUGGGAUUCGAUCGAUUUAUGGGAGUUUCAGUGAUACCCACAAAAUGUCUGGAUUCGAGCCGAAACUUCCAAAAUUUAAUGAUACAAAAGGUAUUGAACUAAUGUUUCAUGAUUUUGGUAUCACUCCCCAUGAUCACUUAGUUAAAACCACUCAAAUUAUUUUACAACCUCUGGUUUUGCCAAGUACCUCAGAUGUUUAAAUGCUAUAUACAUAUAAGUAUAUUUUGUGACAAAUAAAAUUUUUGUUGAUUGAUACAAAUUAUUACAUAAUUGGGUAAUUCUCAGAAAAAGGGUCGAUUUUGAUAUGCAUAAUUUUGAAAAACGAAAAUCAUUUUUUUGGAAAAUUUCAAGUGGGAAUCAUUUGUAUAUGUGUCCCAGAUCCCUUUUCCAGUGUUGGCCUCAAUUCAAUCCCCCCCACUGUGGACCCCGCCCCCUAAAACGGCGAUAAUUAGAAUUCGACCCUCAUCGAUGUGUAAUAUGUCGAUUGACAUGUUUUUAAGGUCGUAGAAUUCGAAUCUGGAGUUAUUUUUUUUGUAGAGGUGGAGGGUGAGGCGUGGGGAGGGGAAAAUGUCAAAUUUUGCUUAUACAGUAAAAGCUCGUUAUAACGCUUUCGGUUAUAACGCUGAUUUCGUUAUAACGCUGAUUUCCUCUGGUCCCUUGACAACCCCAUUUAAACCAAUGUAAAAUUAAUCGCGAUAUAACGCUCAUAAGCGAUUAUAAAUCGCGUUAUAA
Long non-coding RNA from Planococcus citri (citrus mealybug), 1317 nucleotides. RefSeq lists it as uncharacterized. The transcript is spliced from 3 exons. NCBI's taxonomy places the organism in Eukaryota, Metazoa, Arthropoda, Insecta, Hemiptera, Pseudococcidae. The record is from RefSeq and is a predicted model, not a curated record.